ACGCGGCAUAGCAAUUUUGCGUUCUACAAGGACAACACGUGUGUGUUAUUAAUUUAAAUAUAAAAACGAGUGCUCCUUUAUCAAACUCGAGGACAAUAUAAGAUAAGAUGAGUACAUUGACUGCACGACAACGGCGAUAAUUUCGACAUUUUAAUAUUCAAGCGAGAUAUAUGUGUUAUCAAAUCGAGAUAUUUCACACAAUUAUCUUUUGCUGUUAAAUCUAACAUUGCAAAAUGGUUCCUGCCGAACGGCGAACGCGAAUUUGCUUCGUCGUUUUAAGCGCCCGUAGGACAACACACGCUGGUAUCACGUCUGCUCAACAUUUAUUAUAUAUUCCUG
This is a non-coding RNA of Cinara cedri, 339 nucleotides long. Lineage: Eukaryota; Metazoa; Arthropoda; Insecta; Hemiptera; Aphididae. The record is from the annotation of a GenBank genome assembly.